This 1700-nucleotide long non-coding RNA is filed under the name Mus musculus (house mouse). RNAcentral's name for it is "predicted gene 6225 (Gm6225)". The record is from RNAcentral. Lineage: Eukaryota; Metazoa; Chordata; Mammalia; Rodentia; Muridae.
UUUAUACAUUUAAAAGUUUAUUUAUAUCUUACAUAUCUGGCCAUUAUAUAACCAGGACUACAUGAGACCCUUUCUCAAAAAGUUUCAGUUAAAUAAUCACAUUUAUUGGCCAAAAUACAUAGUUCCUUUGAGGAGUGUAAGGUUCCGAGAUUUAAAUAAGUAUCUUAUGAAGGGAAAAGAGCUUGUUAUCCCAAACUGGGAGACUAGGGUGAAAACACGAGCAUAAAUUACUCUGACUAAUGUGAUGCUGAAUGAAGGUGGUCCGAUCGGCCCCCGUUUCACACUGCGCAGAAAAGCAAGGAGCACAGAAGUCACCCAAGGCACACCGGCACCAGGGCUCCAGGAGGGUGCUGACUAGCAGACAGCAGCUUUCCCGGUAAGGUCCUGGGACCGUAGGCGCCUGCCACUUAACGCUGGCGGUUAGUUACGCCUGUAACAGGCGACAAGACUGUUUUGGACACGUCUCCCCUACUCCGGGUCUGGAAAUCCAGUAGUCGACCCUCGGACCCCCCAACUGCGACUCGCCCGGCCGCUCGCCACCGCACCUCCAGCUCUAUAUUGUGUGGGGACAAAAAUGACUCGAUGGUGCAGUCCCUGCGCCACCCUUCUGGAAGAAAUGGGGCACGUUAUUUUCUAUCUACACUGCGAACGCAACGCUGGGACGAAAGCGCUACUGCGGGCCCAGGACUGUGGCGAGCAGGACCGACGCCCUUUUCCUGUCACACUGAGAAGCCCGAGCGGCCGCCCGGAGGGCUCUCUGACGGAGAAGGUUCCCUCAAGACCCUCAAAUAACUGGACCUGCUGGACGGGUCAAGUGGCGCCAGACGUGGGGCACGAGGUAUGACCACCCUCCGGACAACGGAUUCAAGAGGUACCGCGCAGACAGUGAGACAGUUCCCCAUCACUUCGCCCGAGUGUCGCGGACGUCGAGAAGUAAGCCUGGGCAUAAAAUUGUUGUCCCAUUCACCAUGGGGAAUGUUCUUGUCCAAAGAGACAGUUUUUACUCAGGAGAUGAAGGGGUCUCUUUAGGAGAGAGGGAUAAGAGUUAAGAAAAAGGAUUUAAUAAAUUUUUAUUCAUUUUGUGGACGAGAGAUGUCCAUGGCUGCUAUUGAAUGGUCCUGAAAUACACCCUUUAACUUGGAAUAAAGUAGGCAAAGAUAUCAAUGCUUUAAUAAAACAAGGAGAUGUCCCUGAGUCCUUUUUUAGCUAUUAGGGAAUCGUCAGAGAUCUCCUUAAACAGGCAGAAGAGGGCAGAGAGGGCGCUCGCCUCCUAGCCCUUACUGAAGAUUUUUUAGAAAACUCCCAAAUUGCGGUCUCGAGAAACUAAGCCGCAGGCGAAUUGUCAGUCUCGACUGUCGCUGGCUAUCAUCGAUUAUCGAUGCCCCGGUCCCUAAGGACUCCCUGCCUUCCCCUCUUUCUCCCCAAAUUACAUUAGAUUCUAGAAAAGGGGCUACUGCUCAACUCCCUGUUAGACCAAAAAGGAUUUACCCCAUUUUGUAUAAGGAGUUGUCAGAUGAACCCCUCGAUCCUGCCUCGGAGGCAGAAUUGGAUGAGGAAGUCUUUAAAUAUGAACAAGUCCACUAUGGUCCCAGGCCCAGUGCCUAUCUUACUAUCGAGCCCUUCUUUAUUUGCCCCCCUUCCCCCCUAAUCCUCGGCCUGUAUCUCUGGCCCCUCCGUCCAUUCAGCGAUUACUUCAAACU